Molecule: long non-coding RNA, 533 nt
Filed under: Homo sapiens (human)
Lineage: Eukaryota; Metazoa; Chordata; Mammalia; Primates; Hominidae
Description: non-protein coding lnc-TMEM242-3:1
Source: RNAcentral
CCUCCUUGUCAGUGCUGAUUUCUGCACCCAUCUCCCAGUUACCAUCUGGAAUAGAAUCCAAUAGUGAUCCACCAAUGGACAAUUUUUGCUAUGAAGGAGGAAAGAGAGGACAGAUUUGAUUACAACAAAAGCAUCCCAAGAAUGUGUCCUGCAUGAGCUCUUCAGGCUGUGAAAUCUUGAACUUCUACACCCAUCCUUGGCUGGCUUUUUCCAUGUGAGGCCAUAUAGAGUUGCUGCAGGUGAUAAGCAUCCUGAUGGAACUGAGCUUCACUAACAGGAGGACAACACUGAUUGCAGUAUCAGGGAUGAUAUAGUUUGAGCCGGAUUAUAGAGCUCAUCAACUGAUCCACAUCUUAAAUGCUCCAUCUUUGGCAUAAGGUGUUUGUAAAUAAUAUGCAGGGCAUUUAUAAAUAUGAUGGGAUACUUAAUACCAAAAUUAACUAUAAGUGAAUUGCUGGGAUAGAAUAAAAUACAGAAAACGAAUACAUAAGAUCAAUAUGUUACCAUAAAAUUAAAAUAUUUAAUAGCUUCAA